Non-coding RNA from Camellia sinensis, 1971 nucleotides. Lineage: Eukaryota; Viridiplantae; Streptophyta; Magnoliopsida; Ericales; Theaceae. The record is from RefSeq and is a predicted model, not a curated record.
AUAAUUUGGUUUUCAAGUGCAGUGUACUUUGUUAUUAUACAAAAAAAAAAUUGAGACUUAAUUGGUUGACUAGGGAAAUAGUUUUCACAUUUCAAACCCUGUAGUCCUGUAGAGAAUAAAACCGGCCCUUGAAAUUGCCUUGGAAUGCCAUAACAAUUGAGCCCAGCUAACUCAAGAUGAUCACAAGUUUCAAAGCUGAAGCAACAGUGAUCUUACCUUUAAAAGGAUGCAGCCCACUUAAGCCUAUCGUUUGUAGAAAAUUUAGCUGAAAUGUGAAUAGCACUUAAUUCCUCAUUUCCGUAAGCUGAAUUGCAUUUGCAGAUGGCCAUCUCGAUGUACCAUUAUCAGUAAUAACACUUAACUAUUGCAGCACGUGACAAACUGAAUCAUUGGCUACUUUUCUCCAUCUCUCUAGCGGCUGUAGAAGAUGCCAGUUAUUGAAACCAAAACGGAAAUGGAAAGUGGAUAAUGAGGUCACCCUCAUGGUCUUUGUCACGAGCUCUCCUUUAAAUUGGUCCACCUAGGCAAUGAAACAUUCCACAUGCGCCAUGUCCUUAUCUCCUCUCAAAAGAAAGCACCCAAAAAUGAGGCCACAUGUGCUUGAUUAAAUUGCUUAGAUUGUUGAUAUUUGACAUGAUGUGUGCUUUUAUUGAAAAAUUGAAUACAAUAUAAUAAUUAUAAAAUCAAAUUUUCAUAUGAGCAAUUCUUGAAUCUCUGUACCUUAAUUACACUUCUAUGCCUUGAAAAAAAUAGCAGUUGUGUUAUUGUUUUCUACAGAGAUUGAAUCAACACAAGAUUCCUUACCUGCAACAACCAGGGACUAACUUGGUCAAUAGUUUCCUUACUUGCAAGUAACACACCAAUUUCUUGAAAUCACAACAUAUAUUUAAUCAGUUGAGUAGAGGUUAUACUUGUAUUAUUGUCCUUGUGUAUGCCAAUUAGUUUUGUUGCUGAAAUAACUCUCUUCUCUGUUUACUAUAUCUUUUACAGUCUUUGUUUCCUUAUCUUUCUUUCUUUCUUUAUGCAUUGUGCAGUUAUUUAUAUACAUGUCUGUCUAUACGUGUGUAUGUACCUUUAUAUAAUGAUGUAUCACUGUUGUACUUUCUAUAGCUUUUAAAGAUUGUGCCUAAUUGCUUGUAACACAUAAGUAACAUUUUUAUAUUUGUCUACUGUUGCCCUUCUGACUAGCCAUUUCCUUUUUGAAAAAUGCCAUCAUGCUAGAAUAUUUACUGAAGCAAUGGCAAAUCCAUAUUGACCUCAUUUUUCUUUUUGAAUGAUUAUGAUUGUUUUCUCAUAUUGCUCCCUGAACUUGAUUUCCCCUCUUCUGCUUACAGACCCAUGAUAAAACUUCCAGCUACAUUGGUCUGGUAUACUGUUUUGCUUGUUAAAUGGGUGCAUGCAAAACAUGGCCUCCACAAAGCUUAACAGUUCUGCACCAUUGCAUGGUGUUGUUCGAUUAGCAUUGCGCACAAGUACGUUUAACUGCUCUGCAGCUCAAAAACAUAUUGGAUACUCACCAGUUGUCUCCUUGGAAGCACAUCAGAGCUGCUUUGCUUUCUCUCCUGUGCCCCCCCCAUCAUCAGGUCCCAACUCUUGCCCAAAUUUGAUGACUUCAUGAGGUGCCACCUCAGCAAUUGGGACAACACACUCGUUGACAAUCAACAAAAAACCAAAGAGGUGUUUGAUUUAGUCAUUUUCUUUUUCUUUUUUCACAAUGUUGAACUGUUUUUAAGGUACAUGUGUUGCACAUUGUUUCUUGUUCAGAAGAGCUUGCCAAGAAACCAAACAUGACAUGCUUGAUAUAAUCUAACAGAUGAAGAGAAGAUUGAUCAAAUGAUAGCAAUUAUGUAACCAAGUAUUCUUAAAUUAUUAAUGGUGUAUUUUCACACCCUACUGUUAUGUAAUAUUUGUGGAUAUGUUAUUUUAUGGGUAAUGGUGAUUGGUGAAUUGGAAAGUGAAUUUAUGUGAAUG